GAUGAACGCUGGCGGCGUGCUUAACACAUGCAAGUCGAACGGAAAGGCCCAAGCUUGCUUGGGUACUCGAGUGGCGAACGGGUGAGUAACACGUGGGUGAUCUGCCCUGCACUUCGGGAUAAGCCUGGGAAACUGGGUCUAAUACCGGAUAGGACCACUUCUUGGAUGUUGUGGUGGAAAGUUUUUUCGGUGUGGGAUGAGCUCGCGGCCUAUCAGCUUGUUGGUGGGGUAAUGGCCUACCAAGGCGUCGACGGGUAGCCGGCCUGAGAGGGUGUACGGCCACAUUGGGACUGAGAGACGGCCCAGACUCCUACGGGAGGCAGCAGUGGGGAAUAUUGCACAAUGGGCGCAAGCCUGAUGCAGCGACGCCGCGUGGGGGAUGACGGCCUUCGGGUUGUAAACGCCUUUCGCUAGGGACGAAGCGUUUUGUGACGGUACCUGGAGAAGAAGCACCGGCUAACUACGUG
This 467-nucleotide ribosomal RNA is filed under the name uncultured bacterium. Its description in RNAcentral is "partial 16S ribosomal RNA". It matches the Rfam family "Bacterial small subunit ribosomal RNA", at positions 28 to 507 of the family's 1533-position model. The record is from RNAcentral.